AUACGUAGGUCCCGAGCGUUGCGCGGAGUCACUGGGCGUAAAGCGUCCGCAGCCGGCCCCGUAAGCGGGAUGUCGAAGCCCGCCGCUCAACGGCGGAACGGCAUCCCGAACUGCGGGGCUUGAGGCGCGCCCGGGCAGGCGGAAUUCCCGGGGUAGCGGUGAAAUGCGUAGAUCUCAGGAGGAACACCGAAGGGGAAGCCAGCCUGCUGGGGCCGUCCUGACGGUCAGGGACGAAAGCCGGGGGAGCAAACCGGAUUAGAAACCCUAGUAGUCC
Molecule: ribosomal RNA, 274 nt
Filed under: uncultured bacterium
Lineage: Bacteria
Description: partial 16S ribosomal RNA
Rfam family: Bacterial small subunit ribosomal RNA
Source: RNAcentral